CGCGUAGGCGGCUUGGUAAGGGGGCGGUGAAAGCCCGGGGCUCAACCCCGGGUCUGCCGGACCGACUGCCGAGCUUGAGCACACUAGGGGCAGGUGGAAUUCCGGGUGUAGCGGUGGAAUGCGUAGAGAUCCGGAGGAACACCGGUGGCGAAGGCGGCCUGCUGGGGUGUGGCUGACGCUGAGGCGCGACAGCGUGGGGAGCAAACAGGAUUAGAUACCCUGGUAGUCCACGCCGUAAACGAUGGGCACUAGGUGCUCGGGGGAGCGACCCCUUGGGUGCCGGCGCUAACGCAUUAAGUGCCCCGCCUGGGGAGUACGGCCGCAAGGCUGAA
RNAcentral lists this ribosomal RNA (332 nucleotides) under uncultured bacterium. Its description in RNAcentral is "bacterial SSU rRNA". It matches the Rfam family "Bacterial small subunit ribosomal RNA", at positions 568 to 898 of the family's 1533-position model. The record is from RNAcentral.